GAUGAACGCUGGCGGCGUGCCUAACACAUGCAAGUCGAGCGAACAGACGAGGAGCUUGCUCCUCUGACGUUAGCGGCGGACGGGUGAGUAACACGUGGAUAACCUACCUAUAAGACUGGGAUAACUUCGGGAAACCGGAGCUAAUACCGGAUAAUAUAUUGAACCGCAUGGUUCAAUAGUGAAAGACGGUUUUGCUGUCACUUAUAGAUGGAUCCGCGCCGCAUUAGCUAGUUGGUAAGGUAACGGCUUACCAAGGCGACGAUGCGUAGCCGACCUGAGAGGGUGAUCGGCCACACUGGAACUGAGACACGGUCCAGACUCCUACGGGAGGCAGCAGUAGGGAAUCUUCCGCAAUGGGCGAAAGCCUGACGGAGCAACGCCGCGUGAGUGAUGAAGGUCUUCGGAUCGUAAAACUCUGUUAUUAGGGAAGAACAAAUGUGUAAGUAACUAUGCACGUCUUGACGGUACCUAAUCAGAAAGCCACGGCUAACUACGUG
Molecule: ribosomal RNA, 497 nt
Filed under: uncultured bacterium
Lineage: Bacteria
Description: partial 16S ribosomal RNA
Rfam family: Bacterial small subunit ribosomal RNA
Source: RNAcentral